This 245-nucleotide ribosomal RNA is filed under the name uncultured Alteromonas sp. RNAcentral's name for it is "partial 16S ribosomal RNA". It matches the Rfam family "Bacterial small subunit ribosomal RNA", at positions 524 to 768 of the family's 1533-position model. The record is from RNAcentral. Lineage: Bacteria; Pseudomonadati; Pseudomonadota; Gammaproteobacteria; Alteromonadales; Alteromonadaceae.
UACGGAGGGUGCAAGCGUUAAUCGGAAUUACUGGGCGUAAAGCGCACGCAGGCGGUUUGUUAAGCUAGAUGUGAAAGCCCUGGGCUCAACCUGGGACGGUCAUUUAGAACUGGCAGACUAGAGUCUUGGAGAGGGGAGUGGAAUUCCAGGUGUAGCGGUGAAAUGCGUAGAUAUCUGGAGGAACAUCAGUGGCGAAGGCGACUCCCUGGCCAAAGACUGACGCUCAUGUGCGAAAGUGUGGGUAG